GGAAGUGGGGAUGACGUCAAGUCCUCAUGGCCCUUAUAGGUGGGGCUACACACGUCAUACAAUGGCUGGUACAAAGGGUUGCCAACCCGCGAGGGGGGAGCCAAUCCCAUAAAGCCAGUCGUAGUCCGGAUCGCAGUCUGCAACUCGACUGCGUGAAGUCGGAAUCGCUAGUAAUCGUGGAUCAGCAUGUCACGGUGAAUACGUUCCCGGGUCUU
Molecule: ribosomal RNA, 215 nt
Filed under: uncultured Variovorax sp.
Lineage: Bacteria; Pseudomonadati; Pseudomonadota; Betaproteobacteria; Burkholderiales; Comamonadaceae
Description: partial 16S ribosomal RNA
Rfam family: Bacterial small subunit ribosomal RNA
Source: RNAcentral